Microcebus murinus (gray mouse lemur) is the source of this 452-nucleotide long non-coding RNA. RefSeq lists it as uncharacterized. NCBI's taxonomy places the organism in Eukaryota, Metazoa, Chordata, Mammalia, Primates, Cheirogaleidae. The record is from RefSeq and is a predicted model, not a curated record.
CACCAGCAAGGUGUCCUCCCUCCUCCCGAGCUGCGGGGACAGAGAGAGGGCAGCGGCUGCCCUGCCCCUCACAGGCCUGGUUGUGCCUGGUUGUGAGGCCGGUGACAACCACAAUUCUGUGACCGGAGCGCCACCUUCAGACACCUCUCUGCUGGCGUGUUCCUGAGUUCAUGAUGGAAGAGGGAAACCUCACACUUUGCCACAUAAAAGGCCUGCAGAUUGGAAAACUCUACUUGCACGACUUAGCUCACUGCCCCAGGCUUAAUUGCCACCACGCUGCUACCUGUGUCCGGCUCUAGCCAACCAUGAGCACCAGAAGUCUUAUGAACAGGCCUGACUUUCCUGCAUUUUCUGAAGCCCUUCCCCUCCAUCACUAACCCUCAUCUUUGUCAAAACAUUUCCCAUGGUCAAGUGGAUCCAUCUCUUAAUAAAGCCUUUCUUGAGAUCCCCAA